AAACUAACAAGGAUUCCCCUAGUAACUGCGAGUGAAGCGGGAAGAGCUCAAAUUUAAAAUCUGGCGGUCUCCGGCCGUCCGAGUUGUAAUCUGGAGAAGCGUUUUCCGCGUCGGACCGUGUACAAGUCUCUUGGAACAGAGCGUCAUAGAGGGUGAGAAUCCCGUCCAUGACACGGACUCCCGGUGCUUUGUGAUACGCUCUCGAAGAGUCGAGUUGUUUGGGAAUGCAGCUCAAAAUGGGUGGUAAAUUCCAUCUAAAGCUAAAUAUUGGCGAGAGACCGAUAGCGAACAAGUACCGUGAGGGAAAGAUGAAAAGCACUUUGGAAAGAGAGUUAAACAGUACGUGAAAUUGUUGAAAGGGAAACGCUUGAAGUCAGUCGCGUCGUCCGGGACUCAGCCUUGCUCUUGCUCGGUGUACUUCCCGUUCGACGGGUCAACAUCGAUUUUGACCGGCGGAUAAAGGCGGGGGGAAUGUGGCACCUUCGGGUGUGUUAUAGCCCUCUGUUGCAUGCGUCGGUCGGGAUCGAGGACCGCAGCGCGCCACUAGGCCGAGAGGUACGCCUCUACGUUACGCGCUUAGGAUGUUGGCAUAAUGGCUUUAAGCGACCCGUCU
This 613-nucleotide ribosomal RNA is filed under the name Kneiffiella abieticola. RNAcentral describes it as "partial 28S ribosomal RNA". It matches the Rfam family "Eukaryotic large subunit ribosomal RNA", at positions 62 to 654 of the family's 3401-position model. The record is from RNAcentral. Lineage: Eukaryota; Fungi; Basidiomycota; Agaricomycetes; Hymenochaetales.